This 301-nucleotide ribosomal RNA is filed under the name uncultured bacterium. RNAcentral's name for it is "partial 16S ribosomal RNA". It matches the Rfam family "Bacterial small subunit ribosomal RNA", at positions 509 to 809 of the family's 1533-position model. The record is from RNAcentral.
CAGUCGCCGCGGUAAUACGAAGGGUGCAAGCGUUAAUCGGAAUUACUGGGCGUAAAGCGUGCGUAGGCGGUUUGUUAAGUCUGUUGUGAAACCCCCGGGCUCAACCUGGGAAUGGCAAUGGAUACUGGCAAGCUAGAGUGUGUCAGAGGAUGGUGGAAUUCCCGGUGUAGCGGUGAAAUGCGUAGAGAUCGGGAGGAACAUCAGUGGCGAAGGCGGCCAUCUGGGACAACACUGACGCUGAGGCACGAAAGCGUGGGGAGCAAACAGGAUUAGAUACCCGGGUAGUCCCUGUCUCUUAUAA